GUGACUGCGUACCUUUUGUAUAAUGGGUCAGCGACUUAUAUUCUGUAGCAAGGUUAACCGAAUAGGGGAGCCGCAGGGAAACCGAGUCUUAAUUGGGCGUUAAGUUGCAGGGUAUAGACCCGAAACCCGGUGAUCUAGCCAUGGGCAGGUUGAAGGUUGGGUAACACUAACUGGAGGACCGAACCGACUAAUGUUGAAAAAUUAGCGGAUGACCUGUGGCUGGGGGUGAAAGGCCAAUCAAACCGGGAGAUAGCUGGUUCUCCCCGAAAGCUAUUUAGGUAGCGCCUCGUGAAUUCAUCUCCGGGGGUAGAGCACUGUUUCGGCUAGGGGGCCAUCCCGGCUUACCAACCCGAUGCAAACUGCGAAUACCGGAGAAUGUUAUCACGGGAGACACACGGCGGGUGCUAACGUCCGUCGUGAAGAGGGAAACAACCCAGACCGCCAGCUAAGGUCCCAAAGUCAUGGUUAAGUGGGAAACGAUGUGGGAAGGCCCAGACAGCCAGGAUGUUGGCUUAGAAGCAGCCAUCAUUUAAAGAAAGCGUAAUAGCUCACUGGUCGAGUCGGCCUGCGCGGAAGAUGUAACGGGGCUAAACCAUGCACCGAAGCUGCGGCAGCGACGCUGAUGCGUUGUUGGGUAGGGGAGCGUUCUGUAAGCCUGUGAAGGUGUGUCGUGAGGCAUGCUGGAGGUAUCAGAAGUGCGAAUGCUGACAUAAGUAACGAUAAAGCGGGUGAAAAGCCCGCUCGCCGGAAGACCAAGGGUUCCUGUCCAACGUUAAUCGGGGCAGGGUGAGUCGACCCCUAAGGCGAGGCCGAAAGGCGUAGUCGAUGGGAAACGGGUUAAUAUUCCCGUACUUGGUGUUACUGCGAAGGGGGGACGGAGAAGGCUAUGUUGGCCGGGCGACGGUUGUCCCGGUUUAAGCGUGUAGGUGUGUGUUCCAGGUAAAUCCGGUUCACUUUAACACUGAGGCGUGAUGACGAGGCACUACGGUGCUGAAGCAACAAAUGCCCUGCUUCCAGGAAAAGCCUCUAAGCAUCAGGUAACAUCAAAUCGUACCCCAAACCGACACAGGUGGUCAGGUAGAGAAUACCAAGGCGCUUGAGAGAACUCGGGUGAAGGAACUAGGCAAAAUGGUGCCGUAACUUCGGGAGAAGGCACGCUGACACGUAGGUGAAGUGAUUUACUCAUGGAGCUGAAGUCAGUCGAAGAUACCAGCUGGCUGCAACUGUUUAUUAAAAACACAGCACUGUGCAAACACGAAAGUGGACGUAUACGGUGUGACGCCUGCCCGGUGCCGGAAGGUUAAUUGAUGGGGUCAGCGCAAGCGAAGCUCCUGAUCGAAGCCCCGGUAAACGGCGGCCGUAACUAUAACGGUCCUAAGGUAGCGAAAUUCCUUGUCGGGUAAGUUCCGACCUGCACGAAUGGCGUAAUGAUGGCCAGGCUGUCUCCACCCGAGACUCAGUGAAAUUGAACUCGCUGUGAAGAUGCAGUGUACCCGCGGCAAGACGGAAAGACCCCGUGAACCUUUACUAUAGCUUGACACUGAACAUUGAGCCUUGAUGUGUAGGAUAGGUGGGAGGCUUUGAAGUGUGGACGCCAGUCUGCAUGGAGCCGACCUUGAAAUACCACCCUUUAAUGUUUGAUGUUCUAACGUGGACCCGUAAUCCGGGUUGCGGACAGUGUCUGGUGGGUAGUUUGACUGGGGCGGUCUCCUCCUAAAGAGUAACGGAGGAGCACGAAGGUUGGCUAAUCCUGGUCGGACAUCAGGAGGUUAGUGCAAUGGCAUAAGCCAGCUUGACUGCGAGCGUGACGGCGCGAGCAGGUGCGAAAGCAGGUCAUAGUGAUCCGGUGGUUCUGAAUGGAAGGGCCAUCGCUCAACGGAUAAAAGGUACUCCGGGGAUAACAGGCUGAUACCGCCCAAGAGUUCAUAUCGACGGCGGUGUUUGGCACCUCGAUGUCGGCUCAUCACAUCCUGGGGCUGAAGUAGGUCCCAAGGGUAUGGCUGUUCGCCAUUUAAAGUGGUACGCGAGCUGGGUUUAGAACGUCGUGAGACAGUUCGGUCCCUAUCUGCCGUGGGCGCUGGAGAACUGAGGGGGGCUGCUCCUAGUACGAGAGGACCGGAGUGGACGCAUCACUGGUGUUCGGGUUGUCAUGCCAAUGGCACUGCCCGGUAGCUAAAUGCGGAAGAGAUAAGUGCUGAAAGCAUCUAAGCACGAAACUUGCCCCGAGAUGAGUUCUCCCUGAGACUUUAAGUCUCCUGAAGGAACGUUGAAGACGACGACGUUGAUAGGCCGGGUGUGUAAGCGCAGCGAUGCGUUGAGCUAACCGGUACUAAUGAACCGUGAGGCUUAACCUUACAACGCCGAAG
This 2366-nucleotide ribosomal RNA is filed under the name Salmonella enterica subsp. enterica serovar Inverness. Its description in RNAcentral is "bacterial LSU rRNA". It matches the Rfam family "Bacterial large subunit ribosomal RNA", at positions 593 to 2925 of the family's 2925-position model. Lineage: Bacteria; Pseudomonadati; Pseudomonadota; Gammaproteobacteria; Enterobacterales; Enterobacteriaceae. The record is from RNAcentral.